This 911-nucleotide ribosomal RNA is filed under the name uncultured bacterium. RNAcentral's name for it is "bacterial SSU rRNA". It matches the Rfam family "Bacterial small subunit ribosomal RNA", at positions 8 to 916 of the family's 1533-position model. The record is from RNAcentral.
AGAGUUUGAUCAUGGCUCAGAUUGAACGCUGGCGGUAUGCUUAACACAUGCAAGUCGAACGGUAACAGGCCUUCGGGCGCUGACGAGUGGCGGACGGGUGCGUAACGCGUAGGAAUCUGCCUGUUAGUGGGGGACAACGUGGGGAAACUCACGCUAAUACCGCAUACGCCCUACGGGGGAAAGCGGGGGACCUUCGGGCCUCGCGCUAACAGAUGAGCCUGCGUUGGAUUAGCUAGUUGGUAGGGUAAAGGCCUACCAAGGCGACGAUCCAUAGCUGGUCUGAGAGGACGAUCAGCCACACUGGGACUGAGACACGGCCCAGACUCCUACGGGAGGCAGCAGUGGGGAAUAUUGGACAAUGGGCGCAAGCCUGAUUCAGCAAUACCGCGUGUGUGAAGAAGGCCUGAGGGUUGUAAAGCACUUUUAAUCGGGAGGAACACCUGUCAGCGAAUACCUGGCAGUAUGACGUUACCGAUAGAAAAAGCACCGGCUAACUCCGUGCCAGCAGCCGCGGUAACACGGAGGGUGCAAGCGUUAAUCGGAAUUACUGGGCGUAAAGCGUGCGUAGGCGGCUGUUUAAGUCAGAUGUGAAAGCCCCGGGCUUAACCUGGGAACUGCAUUUGAUACUGGGCAGCUAGAGUUGAGUAGAGGAGAGGGGAAUUUCAGGUGUAGCGGUGAAAUGCGUAGAGAUCUGAAGGAACACCAGUGGCGAAGGCGCCUCUCUGGACUCAAACUGACGCUGAGGUACGAAAGCGUGGGUAGCAAACAGGAUUAGAUACCCUGGUAGUCCACGCCGUAAACGAUGUCAACUAGCCGUUGGUCUUAUUCGUAAGAUUAGUGGCGUAGCUAACGCGAUAAGUUGACCGCCUGGGGAGUACGGCCGCAAGGUUAAAACUCAAAUGAAUUGACGG